Molecule: ribosomal RNA, 600 nt
Filed under: uncultured bacterium
Lineage: Bacteria
Description: bacterial SSU rRNA
Rfam family: Bacterial small subunit ribosomal RNA
Source: RNAcentral
GCGGAACACGUGUGCACUGCCUUAUCUGGGGGAUAGCCUUUCGAAAGGAAGAUAAUACCCCAUAAUAUGUUGAAUGGCAUCAUUCGACAUUGAAAACUCCGGUGGAUAGAGAUGGGCACGCGCAAGAUUAGAUAGUUGGUGAGGUACGGCUCACCAAAGUCUACGAUCUUUAGGGGCCUGAGAGGGUGAUCCCCCACACUGGUACUGAAACACGGACCAAACUCCUACGGGAGGCACAUGAGAAUAUUGGACAAUGGGUGAGAGCCUGAUCCAGCCAUCCCGCGUGAAGGACGACUGCCCUAUGGGUUGUAAACUUCUUUUGUAUAGGGAUAAACCUACCCUCGUGAGGGUAGCUGAAGGUACUAUACGAAUAAGCACCGGCUAACUCCGUGCCAGCAGCCGCGGUAAUACGGAGGGUGCAAGCGUUAUCCGGAUUUAUUGGGUUUAAAGGGUCCGUAGCGGAUCUGUAAGUCAGUGGUGAAAUCUCAACAGCUUAACUGUGAAACUGCCAUUGAUACUGCAGGUCUUGAGUGUUGUUGAAGUAGCUGGAAUAAGUAGUGUAGCGGUGAAAUGCAUAGAUUUUACUUAGAACACCAAUUG